UCAGGCCUAACACAUGCAAGUCGAACGGUAACGCGGGGCAACCUGGCGACGAGUGGCGAACGGGUGAGUAAUGUAUCGGAACGUGCCCAGUAGUGGGGGAUAGCCCGGCGAAAGCCGGAUUAAUACCGCAUGAGACCUAAGGGUGAAAGCGGGGGAUCGUAAGACCUCGCGCUAUUGGAGCGGCCGAUAUCAGAUUAGGUAGUUGGUGGGGUAAAGGCCUACCAAGCCGACGAUCUGUAGCUGGUCUGAGAGGACGACCAGCCACACUGGGACUGAGACACGGCCCAGACUCCUACGGGAGGCAGC
RNAcentral lists this ribosomal RNA (306 nucleotides) under uncultured bacterium. RNAcentral describes it as "bacterial SSU rRNA". It matches the Rfam family "Bacterial small subunit ribosomal RNA", at positions 43 to 352 of the family's 1533-position model. The record is from RNAcentral.